GAUGAAGAACGUAGCAAAAUGCGAUACUUGGUGUGAAUUGCAGAAUCCCGUGAACCAUCGAGUUUUUGAACGCAAGUUGCGCCCGAAGCCUUUUGGCCGAGGGCACGUCUGCCUGGGCGUCACGCAUCGCGUCGCCCCCCACAAUUCUCCGUAAAGGGAACAUGUGUUUUGGGGGCGGAUAUUGGUCUCCCGUGCUCAUGGCGUGGUUGGCCGAAAUAGGAGUCCUUUCGAUGGACGCACGAACUAGUGGUGGUCGUAAACACCCUCGUCUUUUGUUUCGUGCUGUUGCUCGCAAGGUAAACUCUUUAAAAACCCCAAUGUGUCGUCUCUUGACGACGCUUCGACCGCGACCCCAGGUCAGGCGGGACUACCCGCUGAGUUUAAGCAUAUCAAUAAGCGGAGGA
Molecule: unclassified non-coding RNA, 404 nt
Filed under: soil metagenome
Description: partial contains 5.8S ribosomal RNA, internal transcribed spacer 2, and large subunit ribosomal RNA
Rfam family: 5.8S ribosomal RNA (bases 1-122)
Source: RNAcentral